AUUAACCUUUGCAGAAUCAACAUAAAGAUCAUCUGACUCUCUUCCUAACACUUUUUCUUUAACAAGGAAGCAAGAUCCCAACUCUAAAAUGGACAGCAGCGAAACAUCUGCCUCCCUGGUGGUCUGCAGACAUGAGGAAAACUGAAAGAAUGAUGUUAUGGGAGCACACUAUUUGAUGUUUUCCCUGAUUCCUGAAAAGACUCGGUGAAGGCUGGUCCAGGAAGGAGACAGACCUGAAGUUACAUAGAGGGCAUUCCAGACUGUGGAAGACAGAGGUCCUGAA
This 283-nucleotide long non-coding RNA is filed under the name Chinchilla lanigera (long-tailed chinchilla). RNAcentral describes it as "lncRNA (ENSCLAG00000023124.1)". Lineage: Eukaryota; Metazoa; Chordata; Mammalia; Rodentia; Chinchillidae. The record is from RNAcentral.